This 468-nucleotide ribosomal RNA is filed under the name uncultured bacterium. Its description in RNAcentral is "partial 16S ribosomal RNA". It matches the Rfam family "Bacterial small subunit ribosomal RNA", at positions 28 to 507 of the family's 1533-position model. The record is from RNAcentral.
GACGAACGCUGGCGGCGUGCUUAACACAUGCAAGUCGAACGGAAAGGCCCUGCUGUUGUGGGGUGCUCGAGUGGCGAACGGGUGAGUAACACGUGAGUAACCUGCCCUUUACUUUGGGAUAACGUCAGGAAACUGGGGCUCAUACCGGAUAGGACCUCCUGCUGCAUGGUGGUGGUUGGAAAGUUUCGGCGGUUGGGGAUGGACUCGCGGCUUAUCAGCUUGUUGGUGGGGUAGUGGCUUACCAAGGCUUUGACGGGUAGCCGGCCUGAGAGGGUGACCGGCCACAUUGGGACUGAGAUACGGCCCAGACUCCUACGGGAGGCAGCAGUGGGGAAUAUUGCACAAUGGGCGGAAGCCUGAUGCAGCAACGCCGCGUGCGGGAUGACGGCCUUCGGGUUGUAAACCGCUUUCGCCUGUGACGAAGCGUGAGUGACGGUAAUGGGUAAAGAAGCACCGGCUAACUACGUG